Long non-coding RNA from Agelaius phoeniceus (red-winged blackbird), 460 nucleotides. RefSeq lists it as uncharacterized. Lineage: Eukaryota; Metazoa; Chordata; Aves; Passeriformes; Icteridae. The record is from RefSeq and is a predicted model, not a curated record.
CAAGAAGGGAUUUUUUGUGGCUCAGCCAGAUGUGCUCCUGCCUCCCGCUGAGACGGAGCUGAGUUUGCAUUCCAAUGUCUUGGAACAAGGUUCAUGGGAAGUUUUCUCAGCUCUCUAAGGCACGGAGCCCUGGAGCCAAGUAAGCCUGAGCUGCGGCAUGCUUGCUGUGAGCCUUGAGGGCAGGACAGCGUUCAGACUGAAAGUGUAAGAAGAUGUGGAGUGAGACAGAGAAUCUGACAGGAGCACUGGACUCACAAGUGCACGAAUUUUGCUUUUUGCUUGGAUUUAAACUCAGAAGUUGUAAAGAAUUUGGGAAGGAGAAGGGACAUUUCAGAAGGAGAAGAAGAAAAAGAAGUUGUUGUUGUUACAGCCCGGCAAAAUCUUUGGUUCUAGCUAAUAAAGGAAGUUAGUUGAAAUAAAAAAAAGAAAAAAACGUGGGUUUUUUUCCUUCACUGUUCUA